AGAGGGUGCAAGCGUUAAUCGGAAUUACUGGGCGCAAAGCGCGCGUAGGUGGUUUGUUAAGUUGGAUGUGAAAUCCCCGGGCUCAACCUGGGAACUGCAUUUGUGACUGCAUGGCUAGAGUACGGUAGAGGGGGAUGGAAUUCCGCGUGUAGCAGUGAAAUGCGUAGAUAUGCGGAGGAACACCGAUGGCGAAGGCAAUCCCCUGGACCUGUACUGACGCUCAUGCACGAAAGCGUGGGGAGCAAACAGGAUUAGAUACCCUGGUAGUCCACGCCCUAAACGAUGUCAACUGGUUGUUGGGAAUUAGUUUUCUCAGUAACGAAGCUAACGCGUGAAGUUGACCGCCUGGGGAGU
RNAcentral lists this ribosomal RNA (354 nucleotides) under uncultured bacterium. RNAcentral describes it as "bacterial SSU rRNA". It matches the Rfam family "Bacterial small subunit ribosomal RNA", at positions 527 to 881 of the family's 1533-position model. The record is from RNAcentral.